RNAcentral lists this ribosomal RNA (497 nucleotides) under uncultured bacterium. Its description in RNAcentral is "partial 16S ribosomal RNA". It matches the Rfam family "Bacterial small subunit ribosomal RNA", at positions 28 to 507 of the family's 1533-position model. The record is from RNAcentral.
GAUGAACGCUGGCGGCGUGCCUAAUACAUGCAAGUCGAGCGAACAGACGAGGAGCUUGCUCCUCUGACGUUAGCGGCGGACGGGUGAGUAACACGUGGAUAACCUACCUAUAAGACUGGGAUAACUUCGGGAAACCGGAGCUAAUACCGGAUAAUAUAUUGAACCGCAUGGUUCAAUAGUGAAAGACGGUUUUGCUGUCACUUAUAGAUGGAUCGGCGCCGCAUUAGCUAGUUGGUAAGGUAACGGCUUACCAAGGCAACGAUGCGUAGCCGACCUGAGAGGGUGAUCGGCCACACUGGAACUGAGACACGGUCCAGACUCCUACGGGAGGCAGCAGUAGGGAAUCUUCCGCAAUGGGCGAAAGCCUGACGGAGCAACGCCGCGUGAGUGAUGAAGGUCUUCGGAUCGUAAAACUCUGUUAUUAGGGAAGAACAAAUGUGUAAGUAACUAUGCACGUCUUGACGGUACCUAAUCAGAAAGCCACGGCUAACUACGUG